This 310-nucleotide ribosomal RNA is filed under the name uncultured eukaryote. Its description in RNAcentral is "partial 18S ribosomal RNA". It matches the Rfam family "Eukaryotic small subunit ribosomal RNA", at positions 1470 to 1796 of the family's 1831-position model. The record is from RNAcentral.
CCCUUAGAUGUUCUGGGCGGCCCGCGCACUACAAUGGCGCUUUCAGCGAGUUCCUAUGUUGAAUUUUCCUUGGUAUUCUUGGAAGCGGCGUCUUGACUUGGGAUAGAUCCUUGUAAUUGUUGGUUUUGAACGAGGAAUUCCUUGUAAUCGCGGUUGAUCAGCUCGCGUUGAAUACGUCCCUGCCCUUUGUACACACCGCCCGUCGCUCCUACCGAUGAAUCGUCCGGUGAAGUUCACAGAGUGGCGGUUCGUGGAGUUGCUCGCGAAGUGAAAUGGACCUCACUAUUUAGAGGAAGGAGAAGUCGUAACA